This 86-nucleotide transfer RNA is filed under the name Thermoanaerobacterales bacterium. Its description in RNAcentral is "tRNA-Tyr". It matches the Rfam family "tRNA". Rfam says of the family: Transfer RNA (tRNA) molecules are approximately 80 nucleotides in length. Their secondary structure includes four short double-helical elements and three loops (D, anti-codon, and T loops). The record is from RNAcentral. Lineage: Bacteria; Bacillati; Bacillota; Clostridia; Thermoanaerobacterales.
GGAGAGGUUCCCGAGUCGGCCAAAGGGGGCAGACUGUAAAUCUGCUGGUGAUACCUUCGCUGGUUCGAAUCCAGCCCUCUCCACCA